CAGCUUUCCCGCCUGCUAAAACUACUGUUCUAGUCAUUAUCUGGAUCCUCACAAGCAUCAUCUAUUCCAGCUUCUUGGUGUCUGGCAUAGGUGGCGCCACCAUUACUGGAACUGGAAUAGAUAUCUUAUUCAUAUUGUUGAUCCUGCUAAGCCUAAUAUGGAGUAUGCAAGUGAUGAAAAACACAUUGCAGGUUACAGUUGCACGCAUCAAGUACCUAAACUUUGCAUGUGGGGCAGAUAUGGACACAAGAGUUGCUUUAAUAGACACAAUCAAACACCUGAUGAGUAGCAUAUUCUUAGGCUCCACCCUUGUCCCGAUUCUUACUGUAAUCUGGGGCUCUGCACGUGUAAUAA
This 354-nucleotide unclassified non-coding RNA is filed under the name Hevea brasiliensis (rubber tree). Lineage: Eukaryota; Viridiplantae; Streptophyta; Magnoliopsida; Malpighiales; Euphorbiaceae. The record is from RNAcentral.